UUUUAUCAUUUCUGGAAUGUCUGACGAGUGAAGAUUGGAAUUUACGGUUAGAUAAGUUCACCACAGGGAGUUCGACAAUGAGGGCGGUAGCUUUGUUCACAAAUAACCUAAGGGACAGUACAGUCUGCCUGGAGCCACCGGACUACACAACAGGGAGCUCGACAAUGUGGGCGGUAGCUUUGAUCACAAAUAAUCUAAGGGACUGCCCGAGAUACCUACUUCAAAAAGCUGACCCCCUGAAGUGAAUAUGAAGUACACACCGCCAAAAGAGUCUUCAUACAGCGCCAACAGCGAAGCCUCAGGUUAUCAUCAGAUGUGUUACCAUAGAUGUUCGACAGCCGAACCAAUUAGAACAAAUUCAGUUUUUACUGAUCGUGGUAAGUGGUAUUAUUUUUUGCAUUAUUAGUUUUUUUAUUGAUUUAGCUUGAAUAGGAUGAUAUUCGCUAUUAGUGAAAUAAUGAUUGUGAUUGGUCCGCAUUAACUUUCCAUUAAGUUGGUAAACUUACAAAGUCCUCUAUUUGUACAAUCUUCUUUUAAUAUGAAAGAUUUACUCUAAAAAUCAUUAACGUCUCACGUAGGACAACCCACGCUCUAGCCUGCGUAGCAAGCGUUUCUGUGGAGUUUCAGCAGGAAAAGAGAGUGCGCGGGGAAUAUGGCCGCGCGAAAAAUUGGGCGAGCGCAAAAAAAGAAAAGGGGGAAGGGGAAGAAGAAAAACUUCCUUCUCUCUCUCCCCAUAUUUUGCGCGACCACAAUCCUCGCUCGAAACUCCACAGAAACGCUUGCUACGCAGGCUACCCACGCUCUAGUAGCCCGAGGAGCAAACACCGCGCCCACGCUACUUGAAUGACCAUUCCUAUCACCUUACAUUCAGUAGCUUUCGAUUACAAGUUAAAUAUUUGUUUCUCUAGAGUUACCUUUUCAUCUCUCCUACAUACUCCUUUAGUUUAAUGGCAAAGGACAUUCGUUUUGUAUCCUUAAACUCUUUUUCAAAGCUUUCCUUUGUCCUCGCUAAUUUUGCCGAUAGUUAAUUUUAUCUGAGGUAAUGGGUUACAGUGGGUAAUGGGUUGUCAGUGCUUGUCAACAUACUUCCUAUUUUACCAUAAAAAAACCACCUUGCAAAUCUUUCACAUUAUUCUCGACGGAACCCACUGUCAUCAGAAGCCACCCUGAAUGUUAUUACAGUAGUAAGCAAAUAUACAA
Nematostella vectensis (starlet sea anemone) is the source of this 1200-nucleotide long non-coding RNA. RefSeq lists it as uncharacterized. The transcript is spliced from 3 exons. NCBI's taxonomy places the organism in Eukaryota, Metazoa, Cnidaria, Anthozoa, Actiniaria, Edwardsiidae. The record is from RefSeq and is a predicted model, not a curated record.